CAAGACAAAGAAGGCUGGUGAGGAAAAGCAUUCACUUGUCCUUCCCUCUAGGAGCUUCCACAAGGCUGGAUAUCUGGUGGAUACUCCUCCAAAAGACCAGCAGCAAUGGAUCACAAGGCAAAGAGCAUUGCAGCGAGUACAAUGAUGGAGAGCACGAGAGGGGCGGAGUCAGUGACAAGUUGCUAUGACAACAUAUGAUGGAGGACUUACAAGGUGACACUGUGGAGUUUGCGUACAACCCAUUGGACGUCUUGCAGUGCAAAUAAAGGAACACAAUUAAGAAAUAGUGAGUACUGCCGCGUGCAGAGUGUGACUCUUUCCCCCACUAGAACUGUGAUCUGAGCAUGUCAUGUGAUAGGCCUUGUCUAGAGCUACAGAAUGCAUCUCUUAGUUUUGAUAUUGAUUGCUUUUUAGUGAAGUUAUGACCUCCUGAAAGUUGCUUAAAUUAUACAUUUUAUGGGGAAAGCGUUGUGUUAAAUCAGGCCUAAGUUUGAGAGCCCCAUAACUUGUGUCAGUCUCCAAGAUAAUGUGUGUAUUUAGUAGUACUACAAGACUGUACAUACACUAUCAAUUAUUGCAGCUCAAGUUGAUUUGAAGAAAUAAAAAUGUUUAAGAUAAUAAUUGUUAUGGUACAAUUAUCUACUAGUGAUUGAGUGGUCUGAUUGUUCUCUCACUUGUUAGAUUCGUGAGGGUCAGUUGUUCACUCUGUUGGAUGCUAAUGAUGAUCCACCCAUUGGACGUCAGAGAAAAUACUAAGAAACAGACUGAACACCAGCCCCCGGCAUGUAUCAUAAGGGACGCUGUACAGAGAUGUUAGGGCAAGUUCCUUUAAUUAGAUCGAGAUAUUGUAAUUAUUUCCUUCUUCCAGGUUGUCGGUGGCUAAACGUGCUUAUAGUUGCCAUGGAGAUGGAGAUGGUAAUUGACUGAAGUCAUGUACCUACCUCUCGAUAGAAGGAAACAAGGAUUUGUCAAUAAUUAUAGUACUGUGAUAAAUAAAUGUUUUGUCAACUUCGAUUCUCUAAGAUCAUAAUUAUUCAUAACUAUAAUUAUACUAUUGUUCUUGUUCUUACAAAACUUUAAAUUAUGUUACGUUGUUUCAUAUUAAUUAUAUAUCGAGUACAGCAGCCAUUCAGUGUUAGGUAGUGCCAGACCAUCAAACCAUCACCUUGUCCAUCCAUAUAAUUAUACACAA
This is a long non-coding RNA of Halichondria panicea, 1192 nucleotides long. RefSeq lists it as uncharacterized. NCBI's taxonomy places the organism in Eukaryota, Metazoa, Porifera, Demospongiae, Suberitida, Halichondriidae. The record is from RefSeq and is a predicted model, not a curated record. The transcript is spliced from 3 exons.